RNAcentral lists this ribosomal RNA (440 nucleotides) under uncultured bacterium. Its description in RNAcentral is "bacterial SSU rRNA". It matches the Rfam family "Bacterial small subunit ribosomal RNA", at positions 340 to 773 of the family's 1533-position model. The record is from RNAcentral.
UACGGAAGGCAGCAGUGGGGAAUAUUGCACAAUGGGCGCAAGCCUGAUGCAGCCACGCCGCGUGUAUGAAGAAGGCCUUCGGGUUGUAAAGUACUUUCAGUCGUGAGGAAGGUGUUAAGGUUAAUAACCUUAGCAAUUGACGUUAGCGACAGAAGAAGCACCGGCUAACUCCGUGCCAGCAGCCGCGGUAAUACGGAGGGUGCGAGCGUUAAUCGGAAUUACUGGGCGUAAAGGGCACGCAGGCGGUUAAUUAAGUUGGAUGUGAAAUCCCCGGGCUUAACCUGGGAAUGGCAUUCAAGACUGGUUAGCUAGAGUCUUGUAGAGGGGGUAGAAUUCCAUGUGUAGCGGUGAAAUGCGUAGAGAUGUGGAGGAAUACCGGUGGCGAAGGCGGCCCCUGGGACAAAGACUGACGCUCAUGUGCGAAAGCGUGGGGAGCAAAC